ACGGCUCCAAUACGGGAGGGUUAAUGUUUUGAUUCUUGUCUACAAUAGAUGUGUGGUUGUGUUGUUCACCCUCUUCGGCCAUUCGUAUCCAUCAAACCAUUUAGUUUGAUUCAAACCAUGUUUGAGGUUCGUUUCAGUUUGUUUUGUGGGUUUCGUCAUUUUUCCGUAGUUAUACGAUUUACGUUCGUUGUUGAGGGGGGAAUGAGCUUCAGUCAUGUUCGGUUGGUUGGCUGACAGACUGGCUAGAAAGAUGAAUGCAUGCAUAUCUAUGGAUGGAUGGAUGUGUAUGACGAGUGGUGUGUGGUGGAGCACAUUCAGUUACACAAACUUAUUGCUUUGUGUUGCUGUCUGCUUAUACUGUUUUGUUGUUGCUACUGCUGCUGUUGCCUGCUUGUGUACAACAAUAGCAACACAUUGAAGUAGAAGACGAAAACGAAACGAAACACAAAAAAUAAAACACACAGAAUUCAGUUAGAAGAGAUUUUCGCUUGUUGUGGCCCGCGACGAUUUGAGCCAAUUUAAAGUUGGCAGUUUUGUUUAUGCCGUCGUCGUCCGCUAAUGCUGUCGCGUUCAAUUGUUUUAUGAAAUUUAUCGCGUCGUCAUAAACGUUCGUCGUCAUCAAAUGCAAACAUACUUGUGGCGUUAAAUUGUCGUGUUUUGUUUUUGUUGUGAUUUUGUUUUUCUUCUUCACGUUUUUGUGUGAGCGAUCAUCAUCUAUGAUUUUGACAACAAUUAUGACCAUUCAUAACAAGCCUAUUUUAUAUGCCGAUUUCUUUGCGGGAUGGUGUGACAAAAAGAAAUAAGAAGCCCUUCGAAAGGAAGUUGGUUGUGAAGAGAAGGAAAAAGUCGUUGUUGCGUUGUUCUUGUUGCCGUCGCUAAGGCUGUCAUUACCGCCGCGUGUUAAGAUACUGCAAAUCAAUCUUGUAAACGCGAUAACGUGCUAAACGUAUGCGUGCGUGACACUUUUUUGUACACACGCACCAACAACACACACACACACCGCAUGUGUAAGAGUGAGUUUUGGGCGGUUUUUUGUUGUUUUGCCUAAAAAGACGCCUAGUGUGUAGUUUUAAGUGCGUGUUGCGCGUGUGUUUGUUUGACGUGCCUCCUGCAUUACCGCCGCAAGAAAAUUAAAACGUCGUUGUUCUUCAAAGGCCAAUGAAAUGUCAAUGGAAAUUGUAAACAAAAAAAAAUAUAGAAAGAAAAAAUAAUAAAAAAAUUAAAAAAAAACAAUCUUGGAUUACCAAAAUUAAAACCUAGCGGAGUAAACAUCUUUUGGGCGCCAAAAUAUUUUGCCGCCGGAUUUUUGCCGUUUGGAAAAAAAAAAAAGCAGAAAACAAUAAAUUCAAAUUCAAUGACAAACAAUUUCUUUUCCAAAACAAAAUAACAACAAAAUCACCAGAAAAAAAGAGUGCAACAAAUAAUGUGUGAAAAAUAUUUCUGAAACAAAAAAAUUUUGUUUCGUGACAUUGAAUUAAUUUGGUGACAAAUAUAUAAAACAAUUUGGAAAAUUACAAAACAAAUAAAUAAAAAUAAACAAACAAACAAAUAAAGAAGCAGCUGUGCCGGUUUUCUAGUUCUCGUUCUAAUGAAUGGCAGGUUGGUCAUUUCGGAUUUAUCUUAUCUGCCAAGUGAUUGUGCUCUUUGGAACACACGAUACGAUAUGUCGACCUCGUAAAAAAAGAGUUGAAUUGAAUCGAAUCAUCAGCAAGAACACUUAGCUGCAGAAGAAAGCCACAGCGAGCGCCGGUAAAGUGAUUGUGAGGAAACGUGUGCGUGAGUGAGUAGCGAGCGUGUGUGUGCGUAAGACAAGUGUUUGGCAACAAAUUUGCCAUUAAUUUUGUGAUUAAACAAUUCCGCCUUCACACAUAGACACACACACACCUAAAAGAAAUCAAAAAGAAAUACAAAAUCCGAAGAUAUAAACCUAAAGCAACAAUUCCCCCAAAAACGAAAUCCCACCUUACCGUCGGUACGGGAGAAAGGUGUUCGGAAAUCAUCAAUUGAUAAUAAAAUGAAACACACCAACAAAAGCAACACAUAAAAAUAGAACAAUCAAAAAAAAAAAAAAAAAAACACAAAA
Musca domestica (house fly) is the source of this 2083-nucleotide long non-coding RNA. RefSeq lists it as uncharacterized. The record is from RefSeq and is a predicted model, not a curated record. The transcript is spliced from 2 exons. NCBI's taxonomy places the organism in Eukaryota, Metazoa, Arthropoda, Insecta, Diptera, Muscidae.